CGGGGUCCCCCCCUCGCAGGAGGUGGCCCCGCGGGGCUGCCACGCGCCUCCCGGCCGCCUGCCGCGAGUGCCUUGGGCGCCCGCACCUCACCCGCCAGCCAAAUGCCAAGAGGUUGGAAAUCAGCCCGGCCCCCGUUUUCUAUUCCUCCUCCGUCCGUAACGCCCCGCACCCUGCCGUCCCGAACGGCCGGGCGGGAUGGAGGCAGCACCUCUCUGAAAAUCCCUGUCCUCCCUUCCCAUCCCCGGAGAAAACCCCGCUGGUGCAAGGCGGCCCCUGCGUGGGCUGGCCGGGCUCCUCCUGCUACUGGUGGGGCCAGUGGGACAGGACGGUGCUGCUGGUGGGACUGGUGGGACUGGAGGGUGCUGCUGGUGGGACUGGUGGGACUGGAGGGUGCUGCACCAUGGGGCUGGUGUCCCCACGUCCCCACCUGCUCCUCCUGCUCAGGGAGGUGGGGAGGGAGCGUGGAGCAGGGGGGACGUCCUGGUGCCCCCCGCUUUGCGAGGCGUCCCGCUGGGUUCGUGUAACCUCUCUCGCUCUCUUUCCCCGCGGGAGCGGCUGGUCUCGGAGCGGAGUCGGGGAGACGCGGCUCUCGCAGUGCGCGGGCGAAGCUGAGGGAGUCUUCAGCUGGUGGUGGGAUCAGGCGUGGUAACAAUUGGAUGAAAGGCUUCCGAAGGCACCCGUCCCUGCUUCGCGGCUGCAAAUCAUCUGCUGGAUGGCAGAAGGACUGGGCAGAAGGGCUGGCGAAAUCUGGCUGGUAGGGAUGGUCUCCCACACAAAGAGGAGGCGCUAAUGAAGCCCAGCUGGGGAAGGGAGUUCUCGCGACUGCUUUUUAUCACUGGGUGCCCCCCAGAUCAGAAACCUUCUAGGAGCCCAGCUGGGACAGCGGGACGCGGUCGGGCAAGGUGCUGGCUGGUGCAGCCCGAAUCGUCUCGCUUUUUUCCUUUUAACCUGAGCUCAACGUUUCCGGCCGUUCAUCGGGUCCCCUCUCUGCUCAGAAACUCCCAAAUUCCCCAUCCACCCACCAGGAUCUGCUCGCGGGGCGGCCCCGGGGGGACGGUGCCACUCGUCAGGCACCCGAGGCGAGAGGGGUCCCGUGGGCACGGGGCGAACACUGAACACCGGGGUGGGCGCACGCAGGCUGCUUUCCCGACGUUUCCAGCCCAUUUCCAGACCAAAGAGGCUCUGAAAAGCAGCUCAACGUUUGACGUCUGCUUUGACUUGAAGCUCGGAGCUCCGGGGAGGUGCUUGCACGUUACCUGUGACCAAAGCCCUGCAGAUGCGAAGCCCGGGAGCUCGUUGUCAUUGGUAUCGGGCUGGAGAGCUUGCGUUCGUGGAAGAAGCAGACCAAGUUUACGCCGGUCGGGGAACCUGGACACGCCGCGGUUCGGCAAGCAGGAGCGCGGCCCCUCCGUUUGUUGCUGA
RNAcentral lists this long non-coding RNA (1423 nucleotides) under Anser cygnoides (Swan goose). RNAcentral's name for it is "lncRNA (ENSACDG00005002508.1)". Lineage: Eukaryota; Metazoa; Chordata; Aves; Anseriformes; Anatidae. The record is from RNAcentral.